RNAcentral lists this transfer RNA (72 nucleotides) under Chromera velia. RNAcentral's name for it is "tRNA-Glu". It matches the Rfam family "tRNA". Rfam says of the family: Transfer RNA (tRNA) molecules are approximately 80 nucleotides in length. Their secondary structure includes four short double-helical elements and three loops (D, anti-codon, and T loops). Further hydrogen bonds mediate the characteristic L-shaped molecular structure. tRNAs have two regions of fundamental functional importance: the anti-codon, which is responsible for specific mRNA codon recognition, and the 3' end, to which the tRNAs corresponding amino acid is attached (by aminoacyl-tRNA synthetases). tRNAs cope with the degeneracy of the genetic code in two manners: having more than one tRNA (with a specific anti-codon) for a particular amino acid; and 'wobble' base-pairing, i.e. permitting non-standard base-pairing at the 3rd anti-codon position. Lineage: Eukaryota; Chromeraceae. The record is from RNAcentral.
GCCCUUAUCGUCUAGCGGUCAGGACAUCUCCCUUUCACGGAGAAAAUGGGGAUUCGAGUUCCCCUAAGGGUU